GAUGAACGCUGGCGGCGUGCCUAAUACAUGCAAGUCGAGCGAACAGACGAGGAGCUUGCUCCUCUGACGUUAGCGGCGGACGGGUGAGUAACACGUGGAUAACCUACCUAUAAGACUGGGAUAACUUCGGGAAACCGGAGCUAAUACCGGAUAAUAUAUUGAACCGCAUGGUUCAAUAGUGAAAGACGGUUUUGCUGUCACUUAUAGAUGGUUCUGCGCCGCAUUAGCUAGUUGGUAAGGUAACGGCUUACCAAGGCAACGAUGCGUAGACGACCGGGGAGGGUGAUCGGCCGCACUAGAACUGGGACACGGACCAGACUCCUACGGGAGGCAGCAGUAGGGAAUCGUACGCAAUGGGCGAAAGCCUGACGGAGCGACGCCGCGUGAGUGAUGAAGGUCUUCGGAUCGUAAAACUCUGUUAUUAGGGAAGAACAAAUGUGUAAGUAACUAUGCACGUCUUGACGGUACCUAAUCAGAAAGCCACGGCUAACUACGUG
This 497-nucleotide ribosomal RNA is filed under the name uncultured bacterium. RNAcentral describes it as "partial 16S ribosomal RNA". It matches the Rfam family "Bacterial small subunit ribosomal RNA", at positions 28 to 507 of the family's 1533-position model. The record is from RNAcentral.